This 484-nucleotide ribosomal RNA is filed under the name uncultured bacterium. RNAcentral describes it as "partial 16S ribosomal RNA". It matches the Rfam family "Bacterial small subunit ribosomal RNA", at positions 30 to 507 of the family's 1533-position model. The record is from RNAcentral.
AUUGAACGCUGGCGGCAGGCCUAACACAUGCAAGUCGAGCGGAUGAAGGGAGCUUGCUCCUGGAUUCAGCGGCGGACGGGUGAGUAAUGCCUAGGAAUCUGCCUGGUAGUGGGGGAUAACGUCCGGAAACGGGCGCUAAUACCGCAUACGUCCUGAGGGAGAAAGUGGGGGAUCUUCGGACCUCACGCUAUCAGAUGAACCUAGGUCGGAUUAGCUAGUUGGUGGGGUAAAGGCCUACCAAGGCGACGAUCCGUAACUGGUCUGAGAGGCUGAUCAGUCACACUGGAACUGAGACACGGUCCAGACUCCUACGGGAGGCAGCAGUGGGGAAUAUUGGACAAUGGGCGGAAGCCUGAUCCAGCCAUGCCGCGUGUGUGAAGAAGGUCUUCGGAUUGUAAAGCACUUUAAGUUGGGAGGAAGGGCAGUAAGUUAAUACCUUGCUGUUUUGACGUUACCAACAGAAUAAGCACCGGCUAACUUCGUG